RNAcentral lists this long non-coding RNA (1380 nucleotides) under Phascolarctos cinereus (koala). RNAcentral describes it as "lncRNA (ENSPCIG00000032334.1)". Lineage: Eukaryota; Metazoa; Chordata; Mammalia; Diprotodontia; Phascolarctidae. The record is from RNAcentral.
CUGGGAGGGGCCUGAGAACAGGGGAUGUCAGAGCUGGGAGGGGCCUGAGAACAGGGGAUGUCAGGGCUGGGAGGGGCCUGAGAACAGGGGAUGUCAGGGCUGGGAAGGGUCUUAAAAACCAUACAGGCAUUUAAUAGAGGAGACUACAGCCUGGAAAGGGCAUAGGACUUGUCUAAGGUCUCCCAGGCAAUUAAACAAUUUUACAUCAUAGAUUAACUACCACAUUUGUGAGUCUUUUCCCAACAAUAACAUUGCCAAUGUAUACAACGCUUUAUAAUUUCAAAGCAUUUUACAUCCAUUACACCUAGUAAACUGGAGAUUUGGGUAUGGAGUCAGGAAGCCCUGAGCUCAAUCUAACCUCAGAUAAUUCCCAGCUGUGUGACUCUAGGUAAGUCACUUACAUGCCUACAUUUCCUCAAUUGAAGAGAUUAAAACAAUGCCUGUGCCCCAGAGUUGAGGCAGGAUUGAAUGAGACAUGUUUGUGAAGCCUUCCGCACUGUGCCUCCACGUGGUGGGUGACUGAUGUAUUCUCUCUCUUUUCCCUCGUUUGGUCCUAACCCCUCCAUGAGCUGAGAUCAGCACGCGGUGUUGCUCCACUGGCGCUGGAGGAGCCCAGGCUCGGAGGGGAGGCACAUCCCUGAAGUGUCGUGCUUUCUUCACUCUCUAAGAGGACCAGUGACAUCCCGGGAGCUGCCUUGGCUCGGGGUGAAUUAGAUUUAAGUGAGGCCGAGCCGCACUCUCCUCGGCCUCGAGCUCUCUCGCAGUCACCGGAGGUUGGUGGCAGGACAGAGUCAGGAUGCCUGGAGAUGCCCGGGGUGCGGUGGGCGCCGGCGGCGUCUUUCACGUCUAACCAAGCGCCUGCCUCGGCCGCCUUCGUGGCCGUUGGAACACAUUGUUCUCAUCCGCUGUCUUCCCCCGCUCGGGCAGACGCCUCCCUAACUCAUCCCCGGGCUUGAGGUCUGUGGUUUCCCUCAGCCUCGUUUCGCCCGUCUGCCAGAGGCAGUUUUCACCGGGGCGGAACCCACGGCUGUGCUUCAGCUUCUUGGAGCCCAAGGAGGUCGGGGGAGGACAGGCGGACGCCCAUGGUGGAGGAGCGCGGCACCCCUCCCAGAGGUGCUGGCAGGGCUGGGUCCCCCAGAGCUCGGACUCCAGCCCGAGCGUCCAAGGCCAGGAGCUCUCCACUGCCGGGGCGGCCUUGUUCCCUUCGACCAAGCAAGCAUUUUUAACAACACUGCCUUGAUUCCAAAUGUGUCCCUCCCACAUCCCUGUCAUGAAGAUUCAGCAGGAAAGAUAAAGACAGUUCAGCAGAACCGCCAACGUCACCCGGCCUCCUAGUGGGCGCCCUACUCCAAACCCCUCGGCCCCCACCCCUGUAAAGAU